UUAUUUUCAUGAUUUUUCAAAUCUAAUGACUAUAUGAAUAGAAGCUAUUUGUUCGUUUCAUAAGCGAGUGGUCGACCUGUUCAGCCCCAUUGGCGUGUGUUAGAAGUUUACUUCAAUAGUUCAAUUACUAUUGAACCUGGGGUGGAAGUUGAGGUUAUCAUUGCUGAUUCGUAGAGUAACCUUGUAUUUUAUCUUUUGUUGAGGUCA
This 207-nucleotide long non-coding RNA is filed under the name Olea europaea (common olive). Its description in RNAcentral is "long non-coding RNA (OEUR_LNC011965)". Lineage: Eukaryota; Viridiplantae; Streptophyta; Magnoliopsida; Lamiales; Oleaceae. The record is from RNAcentral.